GCCCAGGCUUUUCUUUCCUCUUCUUACUGGCAGGAAGAAUUUCUGGAAGCACGGCUGAACCAGUGACAAUGAAGCAGGAUGCCCGUCACCCUUACCAGCCUGGCCGCACAGGGAGAGCACACCCACCCCCCACCCCCCCAGGGCUGGGGCUCACAGAGGUAAGCCUCCUUGCCUGCUCGGCCCCACCUCGGGCUCUAGGAACAGGACAGGCCCCUGCCCAGGGCUGGAAAGCAGGGGCAGGCGCCCUGGAGCGUCUCUCCAGAGGCCAAAUCCCACGGAAUUUCCUGAGGGGAGGGGACCGAGUAUUCCGGAAUGAGAGCCAGCUGUGGAAUUGAGGCCUGGGAGUGAGGAGCCGGGCUCAGGGCUUCCUGGCUGAGUCAGCGGACCGUCCCCAGCUUUGCUCCCUUGCCUGGAGUCUGCAAAAGCCACAAGCCAGAGGGAGGAGCCAGAAGAUGGAUAUAAGGCUGCAGAAGGGGAGAAGCCUCUGGCCGGCCCUGGGGGCUCAGGAAGAUAGAGGAGGCCAGGCUGGAAAGGCCCUUUCUCCUCAGACCUGGUGCACUGUCGCCACCAGCGCCUUCUAGAGGAAGCAUCCACAGGAGCCCAGGACUCUACUUUGAUUCUCCAGCCACAAACCCCUGCAGGCCUGGCUGGCCAGAGGCGUGCCUGUGCAUCCCGGGAAGCAAGCGCCUGGGGACUCAGGGCCGGAGAGGCUGUGAGGAUGGCUUUGUGCGGCCGUUCAGAUUUUAUCUCUUCAGGAUUCCAGAGCACAAGACAAAUGGCUUCAUGUCCGGCAAGGAGGUGUAAUUCAUCCUCUGAGCAGAGCAAGUCUAAGAAACCUGGGAAGACGUACCAGAUGGUGUUACUAAACCCAGAGGGAAGAAAACAGGAACAGAAACGCAGUGCCUGGAAGAACUAUGAAACCACCAGUUUUCUCCACGCAAGGGUGUGCAGUCCCACCUCCCCUCUCAGGUGGGACCCACAAUGACAUAGAGGGAGAGAACGCUAGUCCUCGGUCCAGGCGCCCCCAAGCCACAGUACUCAUUUCAGAGGACUUAACGCCUUACACACAUAAAGGCUCCCAGGAGCUAAGAAGCUUCCAGACUUGAAAAGUAAAUGAAUUUACUUGGUAUGCCCAAGUUUUUCUUAACAUCAUUGCACCCACUAUCUGCCCAAAUGAAGGCAUGAUAGGGAAUCAGUGGAUUAUUAAAAAUCACUGAUCACAUUGAAAAAUGGGUGGCUCAGGGGCGCCUGGGUGGCUCAGUCGUUAAGCGUCUGCCUUCGGCUCAGGUCAUGCUUCCAGGUCCUGGGAUCAAGGCCCGCAUCGGGCUCCCUGCUCAGCGGGAAGCCUGCUUCUCCCUCUCCCACUCCCCCUGCUUGUGUUCCCUCUCUCGCUCUGUCUCUCUGUCAAAUAAAUAAAUAAAAUCUUAAAAAAAUAAAAAAUAAAAAUAAAUAAAAAAUAAAAAAUAGGUGGCUCAGUCAGUUGAGCAUCUGCCUCUUGAUCUCAGCUCAGGUCUUGAUCUCAAGGUUGUGAGCUCAAGCCCUGAGUUGGGCUCCAUUCGGGGUGUGGAGCCUACUUAAAAAAAAAAAAUUAGCAUUUAAAAUUGUAAUAUGAAUACAGAUUCAUCAUAAAAACUACUUGAAAAUUUAAAAAAAUGAAAAUAUCCCAUAAUCAUCACACUGAAUGGAGAUAAACAUUAUUGGUGUAUAUACACAUUUCAAUAAAAUCAGGAAAAUAUUGUGUGUAUAUGUGAUAUACACACAUAUACACACAUAAAAUUCUGAUUUUAUAUAUGGAUAUAAGGUCAUUUACACACACAUAUAUAAAAUUCUUUUUUCCAUUUAAAAUGCAUCAUAAGAAUUUUCCUGGAUCUUUGAAAAUAAAUUUUAAAUGGCUGCAUGCUAUCCCAUUGCAUGGCACACUGAUUCUUAAGCAAAUCUCCUAUUGAUACCUAAGCUAUUUCCAAAUCGUUGGCUAUUAUAAAGAAUAAUUCAAUAACAUCAUUGCACGUAUAUCUUUGUAUACAUCUCUGAUUAUUUCUUUAGGACACAUUUCUAGGAAUAGAAUUACCAAGUCAGGGACAUGAAUGUCUACAAGGUUCUUGGUGUCUCCAAUCAAUGCAUACUUGUUAAAUUGUAUGGAUUUGAACAAAGUAGUAAAAAACUCCAGAGCAGCACUCUACCAUGUUCGCUGCAUGUUCUCAGACCCACAAAAGGUUCCAGGGGGCCAGGUGAAGCCCCUCCAUCCAGCCUGUGGGACUGUCCUUUGGAACCCGGGCAGAGGCCAAAGCCAGCAGUCCUUGGUGCUCCUUGGCUGGGCCCCGCCCCUGUUGCUGCCACAGGGCUACUUCCCUCAGCUUCUCAGAAACACCCUAAAUCCCGCUCAGAAGCCCCUCUGUGAGGAUUUCCUUCCAGCCCAUUGCCGUGGCCCCCUGGGGAGUAUACAGGGUAGGGGUCACGGUCACCCACACCCUCUUCAGACAGGGCAUCUGAGGCCUAGAAGCCAGCAGGAUGCGAGAGUUAGGACAGGACCGGGGAUUCAGAGACAAGGCUCUAGGUCUCACUCUACCAGUCAGUGUUGCCAAACCACAGAGGGGCGCGUCCCGUGGGAAAGUGGCCCAACACAACUGGAGGCAGAGGCCCUGCGAGGAGGCUGGGAUCCACUGGAGUCAUUUUCAACAAAUAUCUAUUGAGCAUCUAUCAUGUAUAGUCACUGAGAAAAUAGCGGGAACCCAAGAGGCAAAGCUCCUGCCCUCAAGAAACAGCAUGCUAGUGGGGGAAACAGGUAAUAAACCCCAAGAAUCGUGUCCAAUGGGGUUUAAAUGCUGAGAAGAAAACAAAGCAGGGACAAGUGGAUAGAAAGUGACACAGAGGGGUGGGUUACCUUGAGGUAGGAUAAUUCACAUAGGUCUCUCUGGGUUGAUACUUAAGCAAAAGCCUGAGGGAACAGAAGGAAUAAGCUCUGUGAGUUAUCUGGAGGAAGCCCUUCAAGGCCAAGGGAACAGCAAGUACAAAGGUCCUGAGGCAGGAGCAAAACUGGUAUGUUUGGGUAGACGUCAGAAGCUGAUAUGGCUGGAACAGAGUGAAUAAGGGACAGUGUAGGGACUGAGGUCACAGAGCUAGCACCAUCCCCAUUAGAUGCGGGAGCUCCCACUGAGCCACAGGCAUCAAGCAGGACACAGUCACCUGUUGUCAAGAACCUUUAAGGUUAGGGCGCCUGGGUGGCUCAGUUGGUUAAGCGACUGCCUUCGGCUCAGGUCAUGAUCCUGGAGUCCCGGGAUCGAGUCCCGCAUCGGGCUCCCUGCUCAUCGGGGAGUCUGCUUCUCCCUCUGACCCUCCCCCCUCUCAUGUACUCGCUCUCUCUCAUUCUCUCUCUCUCAAAUAAAUAAAUAAAAUCUUUAGUAUAUGUGCUGCCGAAGCGAGCACAAUCAAUAAAAUCUUUAAAAAAAAAAAAAAAAAAGAACCUUUAAGUUUAGGGGACCUUGCUGUGGCAGAAGACAAGAGAAUAGCAGAGGACCGGGGCAGGCUUUUAUCACCUGAUCAGGUGUUUAUAGCAAGGCUGUGAAGAAGGAGGGUAUGAUCUAGAGCUCUGUCCCACCGUGCUGGGUGCCAAGUGUCCAAGGUGGACCAGGCCACAGAGCUGCCUCCUAGAAGCUCACAACCCCAUGGGGCCAACAGGUGGGCGGGGCUAACAAGCUGGCAAGGAAAUCCUGUCAUUUGUGACCACACAGCUCAACCUGGAGGACAUCAUGCUAAGUAAAAUAAGUGAGGCCGAGGAAGACAUGCCCAAUCCGCAUGAUCUUACUUAGGUGUAAAAUCUAAAAAAGUCCAACUCAUAGAAGCAGAGAGUGGGAUGAGUGGGAUGGAGGUUGCCAAAGGCUGGGGGGUGAGGGAAAUGGAGAGAUGCUGGUCAGUGCACAAACGUUCAGUUAGAAGGUGAAUAGGUUCUGGAGAUCUAACAUACAGCAUGGUGACUACAGCUAAUAAUUCUAUAUGACGUGUACUUAAAAUUUGCUAAGAGAGGAGACCUCAAUUGUUUUCACACACACCCAAAAAGGAGACUGUGUGAAGUGAUGGAUAUGUUAAUUAGCUUUGUUGUGAUCAUUUCACAGUGGUCAUGAUCUUGGGGUCUGCGAGAUGGAGCUGCAUGUUGGGCUCCAAGCUCAGCGAGGAGUCUGCUAAAGUUUCCCCCUCUCCCUCCGCCCCUCCCCGUGCUCUCUCUCUCUCAAAUAAGUAAAUAAAUCUUUAAAUAAAUAAAUAAUAAAAUUAAUAAAAGCUGGUUACACAACAUCUUGUGAAAAAUAAGUGCUACACAGGAACUUUCUGUACUUUAAGCUUAAUUUUGCUGUGAACCUAAACCCACUCUAAAAAAUAAAAUUCAUUAAUCGAAAACAAAAUAAAACUGUAAAAACCAAGCAUAUGGCAUGACUGACUGAGAAGACUUCCUGGAGGAGGUGAUGUCUGAGCUGGGCCUUGAAAAAUGAACAAGUGGACCAGAUGUCAGCAGGCAGGGAAGGUGAGAAAUGCACUUCAGAGAGAAAUACUGGUUUGCUGAGGAGGGAGCAGGGGCACCCUCUGGCAACUGGAUAUUGGGGUGUGGCCUUGAUUUGGGAUUAUCACUGGGACAGGACCAGCCCUGGAAAGCAGACAGUGAAAAGAGAAGAGGGUUGAAGAGAUAACGCUGGGGCAUACAGCCUCACUGUUGGUGGGGUAGGGGGGCACUGGGGAAGGGCUGAGGGAGACAAGAGGGGGGUGAGAGGAGACAACACACAUAGGAAAUUUGAACUAGAAGGAGGGGAGGACAGAUGCAUCUAGAGGAAGACUCAGCCUGGCUGGAGACAAGUUGCUUUUAGGAUUUUAUUUUUGUCUAAUCCUGUUGUGUCUCCUUCCCUCCCUUCUCCCUCAAGCCCAACAGGGAGAUUAGAAACAUAAUCUAUAUUGUCGAUUCUAUAAAGUAUUGCUUCCCCUCACCCCUGACACCCACCCGCCCCAGCGCUUUGCAAGCUAUGCGAGUCCAAAUCCACAUUUUUAAAAGAUUGGUUCUCAUUGUAUUUCCUAUGGCCGGCUCUCCUUUAAUCACAAAACAGAGCUUAUUGUAUGAUUAAUUAUUCGAGUUCAGAUAGUGAUGCCCAGGUUAGAAAGGUAAAGAUUUCGUUCUCACCCUCCUCUUCCACUCAACCCGUUCUGAAAAGUUUCCUUGUUGUGCAACUGAUUUUAGCUCUUCUACUGCUUUUAUGUGUAACUUCAUUUUU
Mirounga angustirostris (Northern elephant seal) is the source of this 5249-nucleotide long non-coding RNA. RefSeq lists it as uncharacterized. The record is from RefSeq and is a predicted model, not a curated record. NCBI's taxonomy places the organism in Eukaryota, Metazoa, Chordata, Mammalia, Carnivora, Phocidae. The transcript has 6 exons.